This 704-nucleotide ribosomal RNA is filed under the name Thaxterogaster talimultiformis. RNAcentral's name for it is "eukaryotic LSU rRNA". The stretch from base 297 to 450 matches the Rfam family "5.8S ribosomal RNA". The record is from RNAcentral. Lineage: Eukaryota; Fungi; Basidiomycota; Agaricomycetes; Agaricales; Cortinariaceae.
UAGAGGAAGUAAAAGUCGUAACAAGGUUUCCGUAGGUGAACCUGCGGAAGGAUCAUUAUUGAAAUAAACUGACAGGUUGUUGCUGGUUCUCUAGGGAACAUGUGCACGCCUUGUCAUCUUUAUAUCUCCACCUGUGCACCUUUUGUAGACCUGGAUAUCUCUCUGAGUGCUUGCGCUCAGGUUUGAGGAUUGAUUCUUUUGUCUCUCCUUACAUUUCCAGGCCUAUGUUUCUUCAUAUACCCUAAUGUAUGUUAUAGAAUGUAAUAAAUGGGCCAUUUGUGCCUAUAAACAUAUACAACUUUCAGCAACGGAUCUCUUGGCUCUCGCAUCGAUGAAGAACGCAGCGAAAUGCGAUAAGUAAUGUGAAUUGCAGAAUUCAGUGAAUCAUCGAAUCUUUGAACGCACCUUGCGCUCCUUGGUAUUCCGAGGAGCAUGCCUGUUUGAGUGUCAUUAAUAUAAUCAACCUCUUCAGCUUUUGCUUGUUGAGUGUUGGAUGUGGGGGUAACUUUUUGCUGGCCUCUCUGAGGUCAGCUCCCCUGAAAUGUAUUAGCGGAAUAAUUUGUGGACCGUUCAUUGGUGUGAUAACUAUCUACGCUAUUGACGUGAAGCAAUUCUGCUUCUAACAGUCCAUUGACUUGGACAAAUUUCAUUAACUUGACCUCAAAUCAGGUAGGACUACCCGCUGAACUUAAGCAUAUCAAUAA